AUCCAGCUGACGAGUCCCAUGUAGAAUGAAACCAGCGUCCUGUAU
Non-coding RNA from Schistosoma rodhaini, 45 nucleotides. The record is from Rfam. Lineage: Eukaryota; Metazoa; Platyhelminthes; Trematoda; Strigeidida; Schistosomatidae.